UGAUACGAAAUAAUAAUAAUUAUGAUUAUUUAGAUGAAUAUAAUUUGAUUAUUAUUAAACGACAAACUAGCACUAAUAAUUAACUAAAACAAUUAUUUUAAAGAAAAUAUUGAUCUCAUUUCGAUCAAAUUUAUAAAUAUCUAUAUAAAUGCAAAAAAUAUAAUCUUUGUUGAUACAUUUAUUUAUAGAUGCAUAAAAAAAAAAAGGAAAAGAUAAAGAAAAUAGUAAAUACUUAUGAAUGUAUAAUAAAAUUUGAAGAACAAUCAAAUAGUAAUGAUAAGUAUAUUGAAAAGUAGGGAGGGGGAAAGGCGACAGAAUUAGAUAGGACACACCUGGAUAAUCGAAACGAUGAAUCGAUUAAAAUGAAAUUAUCAGAGAGUUCUCAUUACUACGUUAAUUAUGGUGCCAUUUAAUCCAUAUUACUCGUGCAGCUUUAUUGUCGACGAUAUCGUCAAAAUGAAUUUUCAUUCGCGUAUCAUUACGAGGUGAUAAUAAUAUCAAUUAAUUAAAAUUUCAUUACUGUCGAAACGAUGAAGAAAUGUAAAAUUCGUCUUCCCGUGACGUUUGAUUAGUUUCAAUUUUCUCUUUUUUUUUUCUCUCUCUCUCUCGCAUAACAUGAAUUUCCAAAUUGAAUUUGUUUAAUAAUAAUAAAAAUAAAGUAUUUUCUUCUAAAUUGCAAGUGACUUUUAAAGUAAUUAAAUCGAAGUCAAUAAAUGAAUAGAAAUUAAAAUAAAAAUUGAAAUAGAAACUAAAAUAAAUAGAAACGAAAAAAAAAAAAUCCGUACAGUGGAUAUUGAUCUGAAGUAUUUCUAUUUAAUAAAUAUCUAGUAGUAACGGAAGCAUUAAUAAUGAAAAAUAAUUAAAAAAAAGAAAAAGAAAAAAGUUACUCGUUAUCGUAUUACAUGUUACAAUUGCGAUAAAGCUAAUAUAGUUUACGAUUGAAUGAUUCUUGAGAAUGUAAUCUUGAAUAACGCGAAGUAUAACUGUAAAAAAUUAAACAAGCAAAAACAACAGAAAAAGAUAUCGAACAAAGAUCAACAAGACAUUUCCCACUUUGAAGUAAAUAAUUUAUUAUCUAAUGCGAUAAGAUGGUGUAACGAUUUUGAUCCCACAUCACGUAAUCCGAAUACAAAACUCGGUUUGUGGAAGAAAUUUUUUUUUCUACACCAUUUGAAAUUAUUAACAGAAGAAUAUAAAUUAUCGAGCGAUAAUAAUUUAGCGUACUUUUUCCAGAUCAUAUAAUCCGUAUACAAAUUUCCUUUUGAGCGAAAAUUUCCCAUUCUAUAAAAAAUGUUAAUUUUUAAACAGAAGAUAAUGAAUUAUCUGAAGAUGGCAUGAUUCCUCGUGCCACCUUUUCACGCAUCAUAUGAUCCUGGUACAAAGCAUGAUUUGCGGGAAACUCAACCAAUUUGUUCAAAAUUUGAGUUUUUUAACAGGAGAUAAUGACUUACCUGGAGGUGGCAUGGUUUUCGUGUGCCAUCUCUUCACGCGUUAUGUUAUGCCGAUAUAAAACUCAAUUUACGGGACGUAUUCUAGCUUCGUUCAAAAUUUGAAUUUUUGAACAGGAAAUAAUGACUUAUCUGGAAGUGGCAUGCAUUAACGAAAUCUUAAUACAGAACUCGAUUUCUGAGAACAAUUCCAGCUUCCUUCAAAUUUUCAAUUUUGGAACAGGAGAAGAUAAUUUAUCUGAAGGUAGCAUAAUUCCUUGUGUUACUUUUUUUUUACGUAUCAUGUGAUCCUGAUACAAAACUGAAUUUUUGGAAACAUUUUACCCUUUUGCCCAGAUAUUUUACAUUUUUGAACAGGAGAUAAAGACUUACUUAGAGAUGGUUUAGCUUCGAGUGCCAUCUCAUACGUCAUGUGAUUCUGACACAAAAUUUGAUUUGCAGAAAAUAUUUCAGCAGUGUCUAGAAUUUGCAUUUUUGAACAGGAGAUGAUAAUUUAGUUGGAGGUGGCAUGAUGUAAAUGUCCUACCUCUUUUCUCAUUACGUGAUCCUUGAUACACGAUUUGCGAGAAAAAUUGCAUCUUUGUUAAAAAAAAAAAAAAAAAAAAAAAGAAAAAAAUUUGAAUUUU
Long non-coding RNA from Vespa velutina, 2074 nucleotides. RefSeq lists it as uncharacterized. The transcript is spliced from 2 exons. NCBI's taxonomy places the organism in Eukaryota, Metazoa, Arthropoda, Insecta, Hymenoptera, Vespidae. The record is from RefSeq and is a predicted model, not a curated record.